AUUUAGAGUGUCCACCCACUCCAGGCACAGAGGAGGAUGACGAGACAGACAGACAGACAGGGCGCUGCCUUCGGAAGGAGGAAGAACCAUCGAUGGCUCAUGUCGGUCUUCAGCAUCUGCCAACCCCUCCUGACGUGUGAGGUCACAGUUCACAGGCUCUGGGGUCAGGACGUGGACGUCGUGGGGGCUGCUACUCCGUCUUCCGCAGGGUCCCCGGCCCCUUUUCCUCCUUUCCUGUGUGCGUCUGUCCCCUCCACCCCGGCUCCGGCUGUGCCUGAGAGAGCAGCAGCCCUGGGGCCCCCGACAAACCGGCCGGCUGUGGCUGCAAGGGGGCCUGGUCCUCGGGAAGCCGCGGCCGCGCAGGCGGGGUGCACAGCGCUCUUCCGUGAGUGGCUGCGACACGCAACUAGGGAUGUGGAAUGCGUCGCACGCUAACGUGCAUGAUUGCUCUCCGCUUCUCCUGCUGUCAUUAAGCAGCUAAAUAAUGUGGCCAGACGCUCGGAAACCGGCUGCCAGUGUCAGCGAAGCAGUCGGCCGGUGACGGACGAGCAGAGGGUCCCUCGCUUCCUGCCCGGACCGGGGGCCCCUCCUGCGGGUUCUCGGGCUCUUCCCACGGCACGAGCGGGAGCAGCCGCCGCUCCCCCCGCCCGGGAUCUUCGGCCGGGGGCCCUGACUUGUCACCCGGGUCUGAGCCGCGGCACGCCUCCUGCGGCCCGGUGUGACUGCCCGGGAAAACACGUUGGCUGUUUUCUGGAGAAACGGAAGUGGGGCCCCGCUCGCUUGGGCCGCUCGCUGCCGCGGGGCGCCUGGCUGAGCCCCCUCCCGCCCUGUUGGUCCAGCCGGGCCCAGCGGAGAGACCCUAGUCCUGUCUCUGCCUUCACCUUCCCUCGUGUGAGCUUCAGGAGCCACACAGGUUCCAUUCUCUGCGUGGAGAUUGACGUGGUGACCCCAGGCAGCUGCCUUCGCAGCCAGGCCUCCUCCGCUCUGCCUCCGUCUUCUCCGGCACGGCCAGCGUGGCCUGCUCCCCGCUCAGAGCCCUCCGUGGCUGCCUGCUGCCACUCCGGGUCCCGCCGCCUCACGCCCGGGAUGGGGGCCUGAAUCGCCCCCCGAUGGCUCUCCUGCCAACGGGUGACCGGAGUCCCCGGCCGCGGCAUGGUGGCCACGGGAGGGGCACAGCCAGCGCCCAAGGAGGUCCUGUCCCGCCGGCAGGCGGCGUCCGUCACGGACCUGGCCCCUCCGUGAGCUGGCUUUGUCCUGAAAAGGGCCCACGUGCCUUCUGGAAGGAUCUCACUUACCGAUCCACCCACGUUGAGUGCACGAUUGGAGCCAGUCACCCGGCUGGCCCCGUCCUUGAGGGAUGGAUGAAGGGGUGAAAGGGACGGCCCGCGAGGCUGCAGGAUCAGGGUGAGAGGUACCCGCAGCAUAAACGCAGCACGGCCUCGCCCUGUGUUGACGUUGCGUCCGGUCCCCGCAGUCCUGCCAACCUGGGUGAGCCUCUCCUCUGGGGACCAAGGCCACGAGCUCAGGGAGGUUGAGUCACCUACUCAGCGCUGCACCUGCAGCCUCCGUGAAGCUGUGGCCCAAGAGGUCCCCGGAGGUAUGCUUUUUAUCCUCACCGCUUUGGCAAGAUCUGGUCCCCUUCACCGGCUUCCUGGCUCCCCGGCCUCCGGGAAACGACCUCCCCCAGCCUCCCCUGCACGCAGAUGGGGGUCACAGACCGACUCUGGCCUUGGGAAUGCAGAAGCGGCGUGAGCCACGCGUGGCACCUGCUCAACAUUCCUUUUGGCAAAGAGCUGGGGGCUCAGGACGGACCGAGCCCUCCGGAUCCUCGCGGAUGCCCCCGGACGCCCCUGGGUCCCCGCGUACCGCCUGGAAGGAGAGGAGGGAACCUGGUGCUCGCUCGCUGCUGCUCAUCCAACGUGUCAGAGAGAACACGGGCCGUCCAUCAGACCGCGGGCCAGAGACCCUGUGGGUACUCGGGAGGGUCUCUCUCUUAAUCUGUGCGGAGCACCCAGCGUGCCCGCGGGUGGAAGCAUCCGGGACUGAGCUCGGGAGGGCCAGCACCAGGCCCUGAAGCUUCUCCCCCGGAGAAGUGAGGGUCCUCCCUGGAGGGGAGGGGAGGCUCAGGGUGACACGUGGCCGCCACCCUGCGCCUUGGCAGGCACCUUUUGGGAACGCGGCCCCCCACCAGGGCCGUGUCCUGUGCCCUCUGGCAGCCUCGGGGACAUGUUGGCUGACUCCCGUCCCAGUUUCAAGGGAGACCGUUUUACAGCAGAAAGGGAGACCGAGGCUCGUCUGAGACUCAUCUCCCUGAUUUAGAAAGUCAGCGGUUCCAGCAGCGCGCGGUGGCCGGUGUUUUACGAGGCCCUUUUACGCGCACAACGCAUUUUACGACUUAAGAAAGCGACCGGGCAGCGCAUGCUUUUCCCUGCGCAGGAAAUCGACACGCCCAGCAUCUCCAAUCAAUAAAAUCACAUUUCGCUGA
This is a long non-coding RNA of Herpailurus yagouaroundi (jaguarundi), 2485 nucleotides long. RefSeq lists it as uncharacterized. The transcript has 2 exons. Lineage: Eukaryota; Metazoa; Chordata; Mammalia; Carnivora; Felidae. The record is from RefSeq and is a predicted model, not a curated record.